GCACGUUCCAUUCACCGCACGUGUACAACAAAAAGUGACGACCAAGUUGAGCGUUCAACCGUCAACCCUCCCUGAACCUUUUCUUGGCUUGGCCAGCUAGAAUGCUCCUUGCUCUAUGGUGUAACUACAACGCUGCGCACAUCGAGGGUUGCAUUGACCGCAUGUCACUCUCCAUUGGCGUUGUCUUGUUUAGCCUUUCAGAUAUUAUGAUUUUUUGCUGUAGGUCUAUGUGAGUGACCAUGGAGCUAUAAAACUGGGAGUGGAAGCAGCCUUCCCAUGACCACGGAGCUAGACAUAUCGUGGAGUUAAAAACUGAAAUGUUGGGAGGGAGAAAAACCAGGCCAAGCGGGCUCAAGACGUAACAAGUACAAAAAAAAUCUACAGAAGAGGGAAGUGAAUACAUAUACACGCAUGGAGGAAGGAACUCCUCCAUGGCAUAGAUUCAACAGUGGAAGCUUCCAGGAGACGUGAAGACUAUAGACUUCUCUCAAGAGUGGCAACCUUGAUAAAACGAUUUUCCCGCAGGAGAGUACGUGGUGUGUCAGUUAAUUUCCAGACAGUUGUGUAAUUAAAAAACAUGCUCCUACGAUCAUGGCAGGUGGUUACACUCUUGACCCCGCCCUACAAAAAAGUAACUGUGCGCAGGUACAUUGGUUUGCUCUUGCUCUGUGACCAUUAACAACAUCGGAGGUUGUGGGAUCCAUCAAGAGCCCCAGUCACCCCCACCCCCCCCGGGGGCCCGGGCAGGCAGUCCAGCCAGCCAGCCAACGGAUAGCUCCGGAUGGAGCCUGUCAAUUUGUCAUGAAUUUCACAAGGAACAAAUCAUCUACCACAGGGGUCAAGUAUAGAUGUUUUCAAACAUGUACGUUUUUCUUUUUCAACUUCCCGUUCCUUUUGGUAUAAUUUUAGUUUAUGGUAUACUUCCCUCUUUUGUAAUGUGUAUUAAUGGUGUACUUCGCCAGUUUUCUGUCUGAAGUGUCCCUAUAUUAUUGAGUCUUUGCAUGUUACAAUUUUCCACCUAUCUUUGUCCCAAAUUUUGCUGUUGUGAAGUUUUGUAUUUUUUUCUCUCUAGGCCUAUAUUGUCUUAUUUUUUCUCUAGUUUUAAUUUAUGAUUCUUCUUAGGUAGGCCGCCCAUGAUUCUUCUAAGAAUUUUUACUUUGUAAAGCGCAUUUGAACAAGUAAUGAAUGGGCUCAAAUGAACAGAUUACAGAUACCCUUGCUUACUGUAUCUACCAAGAAGAACCUCUUAUAUUACAACCGGAAGAGUACCAUCGUAAGUCAAUGAUUCAAGUCUCAACACAGGUGGAAGUUUAGCCUUUGAUCAAGGCGCCCGCGGCGAAAUGGAUAGUCAAGACCACACGACGAACCUCAUGCAAGCUCGAAAUUCACCAUGCAUACGCAUUCAGGAGCCGAGCUGUGUGUCGUGGACUGUGCGUUGUUUGGCGCUUAAAGUAAUCUCCUCCAACUCCUCGCUCUUGAGCAACUAUCCAUUUCGCCGCGGGCGCCUUGAUCAAAGGCUAGUGGAAGUUAAGCGGGGCGGUAGACCUCCGCCAAAUGCAUCUGAUAGCGUUUUAUGGCUGUAAUUAGUCACGUUUAUCCAACUCACAAGAGAAUCAGUAAGUCUCAAUUAGGCCCAUGUUAAUAUAAUGGUUAACUGCAAGUUGUCUAGUAUAACUGAAGCAGUGCGUCUUUUUCAAAUCAGUGCACGCUGUGGUUUGGCAGGCCUGUGGGGUCGUCCAUAAAGUACAUGUAUACGCACGACAUCAUGCCGACUUUUCAAACCUCCCCUUCCCCUGUACGCAUGGCGUACAAAGUGUCUCCACCCCCUCUUUCGUUUUGACUUCUCAGGGUACCUUGCUUUAGCAUCAUUAAAUGUCGCAGUACAUUAUACUAUAGUACUGUUAUUCGCACACUGAUCGCUUCCAAAUUCUGAAAUAAAUGACUAAAGUAAGUAUCAUCAGUCGUCGACUUUCAUUCAACCGUGCACGGGGAACAUUAGAGGCUUGUACAGUUUUAGCUACAAUGUACAUUUUUGUAUAUUUCCGAACAGGUGAGGGCACCCACACGUUUCCGGAACACGCUGCCGGUCUUUGUGUCAUGAGUAAUGCUGUUUUACGCAGAAAUAAACGGUGGGGUGGACGGUGGCGGAUACUGUGUUUGAAUGGUUUUUCUGGUAUUUAUUUGUAUGAGAUACGAGUAUGGAUACGAUGAAGAUUUAUUAAAGGCAGAUUUUCGGUUUGCGUGUGGUACGUACGUGC
Molecule: long non-coding RNA, 2258 nt
Filed under: Acanthaster planci (crown-of-thorns starfish)
Lineage: Eukaryota; Metazoa; Echinodermata; Asteroidea; Valvatida; Acanthasteridae
Description: uncharacterized LOC110986996
Source: RNAcentral